RNAcentral lists this ribosomal RNA (444 nucleotides) under uncultured prokaryote. Its description in RNAcentral is "bacterial SSU rRNA". It matches the Rfam family "Bacterial small subunit ribosomal RNA", at positions 355 to 796 of the family's 1533-position model. The record is from RNAcentral.
UAAGGAAUAUUGGACAAUGGGCGGAAGCCUGAUCCAGCCAUCCCGCGUGGAGGAUGACGGCCCUCUGGGUUGUAAACUCCUUUUAUAUACCAAGAAACGCCUUUACGUGUAAGGGUUUGACGGUAGUAUAUGAAUAAGCACCGGCUAACUCCGUGCCAGCAGCCGCGGUAAUACGGAGGGUGCAAGCGUUAUCCGGAAUUACUGGGUUUAAAGGGUGCGUAGGCGGUUUAAUAAGUCAGUGGUGAAAAGUCUGGGCUCAACCGAGGCCUUGCCAUUGAAACUGUUAAACUUGAAAUAAGUUAAGGUAGGCGGAAUGUGACAUGUAGCGGUGAAAUGCAUAGAUAUGUCAUAGAACACCAAUUGCGAAGGCAGCUUACUGGACUUUAUUUGACGCUGAGGCACGAAAGCGUGGGGAGCGAACGGGAUUAGAUACCCGCGUAGUCC